Molecule: ribosomal RNA, 351 nt
Filed under: Escherichia coli
Lineage: Bacteria; Pseudomonadati; Pseudomonadota; Gammaproteobacteria; Enterobacterales; Enterobacteriaceae
Description: bacterial SSU rRNA
Rfam family: Bacterial small subunit ribosomal RNA
Source: RNAcentral
CUGCAUGGCUGUCGUCAGCUCGUGUUGUGAAAUGUUGGGUUAAGUCCCGCAACGAGCGCAACCCUUAUCCUUUGUUGCCAGCGGUCCGGCCGGGAACUCAAAGGAGACUGCCAGUGAUAAACUGGAGGAAGGUGGGGAUGACGUCAAGUCAUCAUGGCCCUUACGACCAGGGCUACACACGUGCUACAAUGGCGCAUACAAAGAGAAGCGACCUCGCGAGAGCAAGCGGACCUCAUAAAGUGCGUCGUAGUCCGGAUUGGAGUCUGCAACUCGACUCCAUGAAGUCGGAAUCGCUAGUAAUCGUGGAUCAGAAUGCCACGGUGAAUACGUUCCCGGGCCUUGUACACACCG